This 253-nucleotide ribosomal RNA is filed under the name uncultured bacterium. Its description in RNAcentral is "partial 16S ribosomal RNA". It matches the Rfam family "Bacterial small subunit ribosomal RNA", at positions 524 to 776 of the family's 1533-position model. The record is from RNAcentral.
UACAGAGGUCUCAAGCGUUGUUCGGAAUCACUGGGCGUAAAGGGCGCGUAGGUGGUUCUGUAUGUCUACCGUGAAAGCGUACGGCUCAACCGUAUUUUGUCGGUGGAAACUGCAGGACUUGAGGCUGGGAGGGGCUGGUGGAAUUCCCUGUGUAGCGGUGAAAUGCGUAGAGAUGGGGGAGAACACUCGUGGCGAAGGCGGCCAGCUAGACCAGUUCUGACACUGAGGCGCGACAGCGUGGGGAGCAAACAGG